GUAGGGAGCAAGCGUUAUCCGGAUUUAUUGGGUGUAAAGGGUGCGUAGAUGGAUAUGCAAGUUGGUUGUGAAAUACCUCGGCUUAACUGAGGAACUGCAACCAAAACUGUAAAUCUUGAGUACUGGAGGGGAAAGCGGAAUUCCUAGUGUAGCGGUGAAAUGCGUAGAUAUUAGGAAGAACACCGGUGGCGAAGGCGGCUUUCUGGACAGAAACUGACAUUGAGGCACGAAAGUGUGGGGAGCAAACAGGAUUAGAUACCCUGGUAGUCCACACCGUAAACGAUGGAUACUAGGUGUAGGUGAUGAUAAGUCAUCUGUGCCGUCGCAAACGCAGUAAGUAUCCCACCUGGGGAGUACGGCCGCAAGGUUG
RNAcentral lists this ribosomal RNA (370 nucleotides) under uncultured bacterium. RNAcentral describes it as "bacterial SSU rRNA". It matches the Rfam family "Bacterial small subunit ribosomal RNA", at positions 527 to 896 of the family's 1533-position model. The record is from RNAcentral.